This 127-nucleotide small RNA is filed under the name Bordetella flabilis. RNAcentral's name for it is "Manganese sequence". It matches the Rfam family "Manganese Mn2+ riboswitch aptamer (yybP-ykoY)". From Rfam's summary of the family: This RNA was originally discovered in E. coli during a large scale screen and was named SraF. The record is from RNAcentral. Lineage: Bacteria; Pseudomonadati; Pseudomonadota; Betaproteobacteria; Burkholderiales; Alcaligenaceae.
CCGGUUGUCAUUGGGGAGUAGCCAUCCUUGCCCCAAGGAGUUUGCGUCAACAUGCUUGGCGGUCCGCGGACCCCAUGGCGCAAACGGCUUUCGUACCGGUCGCGUUCGUCGCGCACCGGACGAAGCU